RNAcentral lists this ribosomal RNA (460 nucleotides) under uncultured bacterium. RNAcentral describes it as "SSU rRNA". It matches the Rfam family "Bacterial small subunit ribosomal RNA", at positions 26 to 518 of the family's 1533-position model. The record is from RNAcentral.
AGAAUCAACGCUGGCGGCGUGCCUAACACAUGCAAGUCGAACGAGAAAGUGGAGCAAUCCAUGAGUAAAGUGGCGACCGGGUGAGUAACACGUGACUAACCUACCUUCGAGUGGGGGAUAACCUCGGGAAACCGAGGCUAAUACCGCAUAACAUCGUGAGAUCAAAGCAGUAAUGCGCUGGAAGAGGGGGUCGCGGCUGAUUAGCUAGUUGGCGGGGUAAUGGCCCACCAAGGCGAAGAUCGGUAGCCGGCCUGAGAGGGCGCACGGCCACACUGGAACUGAAACACGGUCCAGACUCCUACGGGAGGCAGCAGUGGGGAAUUUUGCGCAAUGGGGGAAACCCUGACGCAGCAACGCCGCGUAGAGGAUGAAGUCCCUUGGGACGUAAACUCCUUUCGACCAAGACGAUAAUGACGGUACUGGUGGAAGAAGCACCGGCUAACUCUGUGCCAGCAGCCGC